This 321-nucleotide long non-coding RNA is filed under the name Homo sapiens (human). RNAcentral describes it as "HSALNT0366582". The record is from RNAcentral. Lineage: Eukaryota; Metazoa; Chordata; Mammalia; Primates; Hominidae.
UGGUGUGUUUACAAACCUUGAGCUAGAUACAGAGUGCCGAUUGGUGUAUUUAUGUCUAGCUCAGGGAUUGUAAAGGUUCUUCACGGCCCCACCAGAGCAGCUAGAUACAGAGUGUCAAUUGGUGCACUCACAAACCCUGAGCUAGACACAGGGUGCUGACUGGUGUGUUUACAAACCUUGAGCUAGAUACAGAGUGCCGAUUGGUGUAUUUAUGUCUAGCUCAGGGAUUGUAAAGGUUCUCCAAAGCCCCACCAGAUUCAGGAGCCCAGCUGGCUUCACCCGGUGAAUCCCGCACCGGGGCUGCAGGUGGAGCUGCCUGCC